This 492-nucleotide ribosomal RNA is filed under the name uncultured bacterium. RNAcentral's name for it is "partial 16S ribosomal RNA". It matches the Rfam family "Bacterial small subunit ribosomal RNA", at positions 29 to 507 of the family's 1533-position model. The record is from RNAcentral.
AGUGAACGCUGGCGGUAGGCCUAACACAUGCAAGUCGAACGGCAGCACAGUAAGAGCUUGCUCUUACGGGUGGCGAGUGGCGGACGGGUGAGGAAUACAUCGGAAUCUACUUUUUCGUGGGGGAUAACGUAGGGAAACUUACGCUAAUACCGCAUACGACCUACGGGUGAAAGCAGGGGAUCUUCGGACCUUGCGCGAUUGAAUGAGCCGAUGUCGGAUUAGCUAGUUGGCGGGGUAAAGGCCCACCAAGGCGACGAUCCGUAGCUGGUCUGAGAGGAUGAUCAGCCACACUGGAACUGAGACACGGUCCAGACUCCUACGGGAGGCAGCAGUGGGGAAUAUUGGACAAUGGGCGCAAGCCUGAUCCAGCCAUACCGCGUGGGUGAAGAAGGCCUUCGGGUUGUAAAGACCUUUUGUUGGGAAAGAAAAGCAGCAGGUUAAUACCCCGCUGUUCUGACGGUACCCAAAGAAUAAGCACAGGCUAACUUCGUG